CGGUGCCGCAGCUAACGCAUUAAGUACUCCGCCUGGGAAGUACGCUCGCAAGAGGGAAACUCAAAGGAAUUGACGGGGACCCGCACAAGUAGCGGAGCAUGUGGUUUAAUUCGAAGCAACGCGAAGAACCUUACCUAAGCUUGACAUCCCAAUGACAUCUCCUUAAUCGGGGAGUUCCCUUCGGGGACAUUGGUGACAGGUGGUGCAUGGUUGUCGUCAGCUCGUGUCGUGAGAUGUUGGGUUAAGUCCCGCAACGAGCGCAACCCUUGUCUUUAGUUGCCAUCAUUAAGUUGGGCACUCUAGAGA
RNAcentral lists this ribosomal RNA (306 nucleotides) under Clostridioides difficile. RNAcentral's name for it is "bacterial SSU rRNA". It matches the Rfam family "Bacterial small subunit ribosomal RNA", at positions 841 to 1146 of the family's 1533-position model. Lineage: Bacteria; Bacillati; Bacillota; Clostridia; Peptostreptococcales; Peptostreptococcaceae. The record is from RNAcentral.